AAGUCUGGUGCCAGCAGCCGCGGUAAUUCCAGCUCCAAUAGCGUAUAUUAAAGUUGUUGCCGUUAAAAAGCCUCGUAGUUGAACCUUGGACCUGGCUGAUCCUGUCCUCCCUAAUCGAGCGCACGGAUUCGGUCGGGUCUUUCCUUCUGGGGAGCCCUAUGCCCUUCACUGGGUGUAGUGGGGAACCAGGACUUUUACCUUGAAAAAAUUAGAGUGUUCAAAGCAGGCCUUUGCUCGAAUACAUUAGCAUGGAAUAAUAGAAUAGGACAUCGGUUCUAUUUUGUUGGUUUCUAGGACCGCUUGUAAUGAUUAAUAGGGGAUAGUCGGGGGCGUCAGUAUUCAAUUGUCAGAGGUGAAAUUCUUGGAUUUAUUGAAGACGUAACUACUGCGAAAGCAUUCGCCAAGGAUGUUUUCAUUAAUCAGUGAACGAAAGUUAGGGGAUCGAAGACGAUCAGAUACCGUCGUAGUCUUAACCAUAAACUAUGCCAC
RNAcentral lists this ribosomal RNA (489 nucleotides) under Ascomycota sp. 030705D. RNAcentral's name for it is "SSU rRNA". It matches the Rfam family "Eukaryotic small subunit ribosomal RNA", at positions 557 to 1045 of the family's 1831-position model. The record is from RNAcentral. Lineage: Eukaryota; Fungi; Ascomycota.